AUACCACAGCAAGUGCAUAGACCCAUGGUUAACACGGAACAGAAGAGUGUGCCCAGUUUGUAAAAGACGUGUAUUUGCUCAUGAUGAGCAUUUGUCUGAGACAGAAAGCGACACAGACACCGAUGAUACCACACCUCUUCUUCGCCAGCCCUCUCAUGUCACUCAAGGUGGAACCUUCACACCAGCAUCAUCUGAUGUUGGGGGGAGCAGCAUCACAGGUGGAAGUACAAAUCGUGUUGAACAGAAUGAUUCGGCUGCAGAUCUGUCACGGUCUGCGCCAGCAGCUUCUUUACCCCGAGGAAUUGCACGUCACAUUGGUAGACGACGCAGACUCUUUCAUUCAGUGCAGCCUGAAGUGGCACAUCAGCGGCUCCAGCCACAGCAAGAUUCAGAAUCUGUAACCUCAGAGUCCUCUUCUGCUUCAACAGAAACCUCAUCUGAUUACUGGGACAGUUUGUAUGCGUCAGCCGAAGCUCCAGAUGAGGCACAACAGCAAGGACCAACUGCAGUGCCAGCAGUUUCAGGAGAACAUUCCAUAAAUGGUGAUGGCCAAGUCCACAGCCCUGCAAGUGGUAACAGCAGGACACACGAUGUUGUGGUGUGAGAAUUGUUGUUCAGUAAGAGUUGAUGCGUAUGUAACAAGGGCACUUCCCAAGUGCAUUGCAGCAGGUGCUUAGCAGAGCUGCAUGCUCCUAGAAAUAUUCUUGUAUUAUUCUCUCAGAUUCUGUAUUAUCAACAUAUUUCUUCCCUGUACCACUUCUCCUACCCCCGUGAUGUUACAAAGAUGUCAAGCUUUUGUAGGUUCUGCAUGAAAUUAAAAGUUCACACACAAACUACUUCCACUUUUGUGGUCUUUGCAGGGUCUGCUGUUCCUUGUGAGCAUGAAUAUUUUCUAUCAAGGAGCUGUUGCAUUCUCAUAGAUCACAUGAAUGAUAUAUUAUUAAGUUGAUAAGCUACUGAAGAUUUGUUUAAAAUGUGGCUCGUGUUGGGGAGAAAAACUUAGUGUUUCACACUAUGGUUAAAAAAAUCACUUUACAGCCACAAUCACUGUUGUGGGCUACAAACAAAGUAUUUUAUAUAACAUCCAUAACUAAUUUAUAGCUUUUGUAGUAGUGUCUCAACCUUGACAAGCAAGGUGUUAUGUGUUUGGAGUAUUUCUUGGGAAUAAUGCAUUUUCAUGUAGGGGUAAAGUGAAAAAUGUAGAUAUUAAUGUGUUAAUUUACUUAUAUCUUUAGUCAUAUAAAACUUAUGUGAUGAUGUUUGGUAGUGAUCUGACAAUGCCUCAUGGAAGCAAGAUAAUUUUUAAAAGUGAAAAUGUAUUUAACUUAAUAUAUGGCCUAUAAUUAGUGUAAAAAAGCUAAAUAUUCUAAAUAUAUUAUCAGUAGGUGGGGAGGCAAAAAUGAAUGUGUGCUAGAAGCUGCUUUUAUUGUUCUCACUAUUGAAAGAGAAUUUUUUUUAAAUUUUAGAUGCACACUCAUAACAUUUUCCUUAAUAUUACCAUUUAUGCAGCCAUCAGUUUCUGUGGUCCAUUAGAAGAAGCAUUAUCAUCAAACUUUUUUCAAAGCAUUAUUAUUGUUAAUUGAUGGACGUAGCAUAGUGACAACAUUUGUGCUUGUAAUUAAGUAACUGCAUAGUACUGGUUCACUUUCAGCACCAGAUUUUAUUUCGUAUUAUGAGUCCAUCACUCCUCUCACAAUGGAGUCCAUGCUACAAAUAUACUUUUGUUACUAAAUAACUAAAUUAUGAAUGAUUUGGCAGUGAUGGCUACAAUCACACUUUUAAGGGUUUUUCCCCUCCCUUAAUGCCCUCUGAUGAGAGGAGGACUUAAAUUUUAAAAGCUGUAUUUUAAUUAUCUGUGAACAAUUUGUAGAUGAUGCAAUUUAGGUUAAGUUCUUCCAUCUUCAACAUGUGUUGCAUUUUCAGCUAAAAAUAUCAGUUAACUGAGAUAGUGGAUCAUUUCUGAGUUAUGAAAAAAAUUAAUUGAAUAUUCAUCGCUUUAUUGAAACUGUAUAUCGUGUGUAAAGAGCCCGUGUAACCACUGGUGUUUAUUUUACACAUGGUGCUACUACAUUUGUCUGUCUUUGUAUAACCCAUGUUACGUAUAUACGUGUGUGUGUGUGUGUGUGUGUGUGUGUGUGUGUGUGUGUGUGUGUGGGUGGGUGGGUGGGUGGGUGGGUAGAGAGAGAGUGAGAGUGUGAGUGAGUCAUCAUUCGUACCUUUUUAUAAUUGUAAACCAUAAAUUGUGGGAACUGCUUUUAAUGGUGUCUGUAGUUUCCUUGCAAACUGAGCUGUGUAAUCACCUAAUUGCAGCUAUGGUCAGUAUACAAAAUAUAUGCAGGAUUAUGUACCUUUAAGGAAUUCAUUUUUAAAAUGAGCAGUAAAACUUCAGUACACUAAAUCUGAAUGAGACUGUGAUAUUAUUGUUGCCAUAACAUAUAAGAAAUAUGUAAAGUGUUGUUAUUUAUUGUAAAAAGAUUUUAUAGUUCUGCAAAAUAAAAUAUUUUUGUUUCACCAA
Long non-coding RNA from Schistocerca americana (American grasshopper), 2515 nucleotides. RefSeq lists it as uncharacterized. NCBI's taxonomy places the organism in Eukaryota, Metazoa, Arthropoda, Insecta, Orthoptera, Acrididae. The record is from RefSeq and is a predicted model, not a curated record. The transcript is spliced from 3 exons.